This 576-nucleotide long non-coding RNA is filed under the name Heterocephalus glaber (naked mole-rat). RNAcentral's name for it is "lncRNA (ENSHGLG00100033868.1)". Lineage: Eukaryota; Metazoa; Chordata; Mammalia; Rodentia; Bathyergidae. The record is from RNAcentral.
AUAUGCUGAAGUAUGCUCUGGAGCAUGCUUUGCAGAGAACUUUAUGGGUAUGGAUGGAAAGUCUUCAGAUGAAGAGUUCAAGAAUGUGACUUAGGAAUCCAAUCAGUAAUUCAUCUCAGAAGAAGCCAGCACGGGCAGAGAAGAUGAGCUGGUCCCAGGACCCGGAAGGAAGCUCCCCUGCUGUCAUCUCACACUCCUAGGGCAGAGAAGCUGAGCCGCUCCCAGCACCCGUAAGGAAGCUCCCCCACCGCCAUCCCAUGCUCCUAGGGCAGAGAAGCUGAGCUGAUCCCAGAACCCGGAAGGAAGCUCUCCCACCACCAUCCCAUGCUCCUAGGGCAGAGAAGUUGAGCCAGUCCCAGCACCCGGAAGGAAGCUCCCCCGCCGCCAUCCCAUGCUCCUAGGGCAGAGAAGGGCAGAGAAGAUGAGCCACCUGGGCACCAGAAGCACCCCUCACCCCCAUGGAAAUGAGAAGACACGUAAAUAAACCUCAGAAACAGACUUCUGGAUCACCAACAGCAACCCCAAAGGGAAACAAGAUGGAACAAUCUGAUACUCAACCACCUGGACUCUCUGAAC